Molecule: ribosomal RNA, 377 nt
Filed under: uncultured bacterium
Lineage: Bacteria
Description: bacterial SSU rRNA
Rfam family: Bacterial small subunit ribosomal RNA
Source: RNAcentral
AGACGUAGGGGGCGAGCGUUGUCCGGAAUUACUGGGCGUAAAGAGCACGUAGGCGGAUGAAUAAGUCAGGUGUGAAAGACCGCAGCUUAACUGCGGGGUUGCACUUGAAACUGUACAUCUUGAGGGCAGGAGGGGGCAGUGGAAUUCCUGGUGUAGCGGUGAAAUGCGUAGAAAUCAGGAGGAACACCAGUGGCGAAGGCGACUGCCUGGACUGACCCUGACGCUGAGGUGCGAAAGCGUGGGUAGCAAACAGGAUUAGAUACCCUGGUAGUCCACGCUGUAAACGAUGGAUACUAGGUGUGGGAUGUAUCGACCCCUUCCGUGCCGGAGCUAACGCAAUAAGUAUCCCGCCUGGGGAGUACGGUCGCAAGGCUGAA